AUUGAAAGCUGGCGUCUUCGGCGUCCGCAUUGUAAUCUCAAGAAGUGUUUUCCGCUUCGGACCAUGCCUAAGUCCCUUGGAAAAGGGCAUCAUAGAGGGUGAUAAUCCCGUACAUGGCAUGGAGCGCCCGAAGCUUUGUGAUACGCUUUCUACGAGUCGAGUUGUUUGGGAAUGCAGCUCAAAAUGGGUGGUAAAUGCCAUCUAAGGCUAAAUAUUGGGGAGAGACCGAUAGCGAACAAGUACAGUGAUGGAAAGAUGAAAAGAACUUUGAAAAGAGAGUUAAACAGUACGUGAAAUUGCCAAAAGGGAAGGGUAGGAGGUCAGAGAUGCGUCUUGGGAUUCAGCCUUGCUUUUGCAUGGUGUUUUUCCCAAGUUGCAGGCCAACGUCGGUUUUGGGCACUGGAGAAGGGUAGGAGGAACGUGGCACCUCUCGGGGUGUGUUAUAGCCUCCUACUGGAUACAGCGACCGAGACCGAGGAACGCAGCGUACUCGUAAGAGCGGGCCUUUUGGCACCUUUACGCUUAGGGCGUUGGCAUAAUGGCCCUCUACCACCCGUCUUG
Molecule: ribosomal RNA, 561 nt
Filed under: Ustilago sp. DMKU-SE131
Lineage: Eukaryota; Fungi; Basidiomycota; Ustilaginomycetes; Ustilaginales; Ustilaginaceae
Description: LSU rRNA
Rfam family: Eukaryotic large subunit ribosomal RNA
Source: RNAcentral